CAGUAGCCGCGGUAAUACGUAGGGUCCGAGCGUUGUCCGGAAUUAUUGGGCGUAAAGGGCUCGUAGGCGGUUUGUCGCGUCGGGAGUGAAAACCAGCAGCUUAACUGCUGGCCUGCUUUCGAUACGGGCAGACUUGAGGCAUUCAGGGGAGAACGGAAUUCCUGGUGUAGCGGUGAAAUGCGCAGAUAUCAGGAGGAACACCGGUGGCGAAGGCGGUUCUCUGGGAAUGUUCUGACGCUGAGGAGCGAAAGUGUGGGGAGCGAACAGGAUUAGAUACCCGGGUAGUCCCUGUCUCUUAUAC
This 301-nucleotide ribosomal RNA is filed under the name uncultured bacterium. RNAcentral describes it as "partial 16S ribosomal RNA". It matches the Rfam family "Bacterial small subunit ribosomal RNA", at positions 509 to 807 of the family's 1533-position model. The record is from RNAcentral.